CCUCUGAACUCUAGAGAUAGAGCGUUCCCCUUCGGGGGACAGAGUGACAGGUGGUGCAUGGUUGUCGUCAGCUCGUGUCGUGAGAUGUUGGGUUAAGUCCCGCAACGAGCGCAACCCUUGAUCUUAGUUGCCAGCAUUUAGUUGGGCACUCUAAGGUGACUGCCGGUGACAAACCGGAGGAAGGUGGGGAUGACGUCAAAUCAUCAUGCCCCUUAUGACCUGGGCUACACACGUGCUACAAUGGAUGGUACAAAGGGCUGCAAGACCGCGAGGUCAAGCCAAUCCCAUAAAACCAUUCUCAGUUCGGAUUGUAGGCUGCAACUCGCCUACAUGAAGCUGGAAUCGCUAGUAAUCGCGGAUCAGCAUGCCGCGGUGAAUACGUUCCCGGGUCUUGUACACACGCA
Molecule: ribosomal RNA, 404 nt
Filed under: Priestia megaterium
Lineage: Bacteria; Bacillati; Bacillota; Bacilli; Caryophanales; Bacillaceae
Description: bacterial SSU rRNA
Rfam family: Bacterial small subunit ribosomal RNA
Source: RNAcentral